Molecule: non-coding RNA, 94 nt
Organism: Earliella scabrosa
Lineage: Eukaryota; Fungi; Basidiomycota; Agaricomycetes; Polyporales; Polyporaceae
Source: the annotation of a GenBank genome assembly
UCCCGCUUAGCUCAGUGGUAGAGCGCUUCACUAGUACCGGAGGUUGAAAUCUCGGGGUAUGAAGAGGUCAGUCGUUCGAGUCGGCUAGUGGGAA